GAUGAACGCUGGCGGCGUGCCUAAUACAUGCAAGUCGAGCGAACGGACGAGAAGCUUGCUUCUCUGAUGUUAGCGGCGGACGGGUGAGUAACACGUGGAUAACCUACCUAUAAGACUGGUAUAACUUCGGGACACCGGAGCUAAUACCGUAUAAUAUUUUGAACCGCAUGGUUCAAAGGUGAAAGACGGUCUUGCUGUCACUUAUAGAUGGAUCCGCGCUGCAUUAGCUAGUUGGUAAGGUAACGGCUUACCAAGGCAACGAUGCAUAGCCGACCUGAGAGGGGGAUCGGCCACACUGGAGCUGAGACACGGUCCAGACUCCUGCGGGAGGCAGCAGUAGGGAAUCUUACGCAAUGGGCGAAAGCCUGACGGAGCAACGGCGCGUGAGAGAUGAAGGUCUUCGGAUCGUAAAACUCUGUUAUUAGGGAAGAACAUAUGUGUAAGUAACUGUGCACAUCUUGACGGUACCUAAUCAGAAAGCCACGGCUAACUACGUG
RNAcentral lists this ribosomal RNA (497 nucleotides) under uncultured bacterium. RNAcentral's name for it is "partial 16S ribosomal RNA". It matches the Rfam family "Bacterial small subunit ribosomal RNA", at positions 28 to 507 of the family's 1533-position model. The record is from RNAcentral.